UUAACGACUCUCGGCAACGGAUAUCUCGCGUCUCGCAUCGAUGAAGAACGUAGCGAAAUGCGAUACUUGGUGUGAAUUGCAGAAUCCCGUGAACCAUCGAGUCUUUGAACGCAAGUUGCGCCCGAAGCCAUUAGGCCGAGGGCACGUCUGCCUGGGCGUCACGUA
This 165-nucleotide ribosomal RNA is filed under the name Rhodoleia championii. Its description in RNAcentral is "5.8S ribosomal RNA". It matches the Rfam family "5.8S ribosomal RNA". Rfam says of the family: 5.8S ribosomal RNA (5.8S rRNA) is a component of the large subunit of the eukaryotic ribosome. It is transcribed by RNA polymerase I as part of the 45S precursor that also contains 18S and 28S rRNA. The record is from RNAcentral. Lineage: Eukaryota; Viridiplantae; Streptophyta; Magnoliopsida; Saxifragales; Hamamelidaceae.